Molecule: transfer RNA, 74 nt
Filed under: Actinomycetes bacterium
Lineage: Bacteria; Bacillati; Actinomycetota; Actinomycetes
Also listed under: 3 other names
Description: Actinobacteria bacterium tRNA-Thr
Rfam family: tRNA
About the family: Transfer RNA (tRNA) molecules are approximately 80 nucleotides in length. Their secondary structure includes four short double-helical elements and three loops (D, anti-codon, and T loops).
Source: RNAcentral
GCCGCCUUAGCUCAGUCGGUCAGAGCGACGCACUCGUAAUGCGUAGGUCGUCGGUUCGAUUCCGACAGGCGGCU